This 305-nucleotide ribosomal RNA is filed under the name uncultured bacterium. RNAcentral describes it as "bacterial SSU rRNA". It matches the Rfam family "Bacterial small subunit ribosomal RNA", at positions 335 to 634 of the family's 1533-position model. The record is from RNAcentral.
GCCCUACGGGAGGCAGCAGUAGGGAAUUUUCGUCAAUGGGCGCAAGCCUGAACGAGCAAUGCCGCGUGAACGAGGAAGGUCUUCGGAUCGUAAAGUUCUGUUGAAGGGGAAAAAGAGCGGAGAGAGGAAAUGGUCUCCGAUUGAUAUUACCCUUCGAGGAAGUCACGGCUAACUACGUGCCAGCAGCCGCGGUAAUACGUAGGUGGCGAGCGUUAUCCGGAAUGAUUGGGCGUAAAGGGUGCGUAGGCGGGCUUUUAAGUCAGCGGUAAAAAUUCGGGGCUCAACCCCGUCCGGCCGUUGAAACU